AGGAACCGUCCCCAUUUCAUAUAUUACUGUCUCAAUAACCUCGUAACCUGCCUCCGAUCCGCCUCCAACCCAUCUCACAGAAAACCCUAACGCCGCCAGCCGGGAAUCGCCUCCGCCGGCGGUAGUAUUCCAAAUCGUGUGAAAAUAACACGACCCACCCUCCUCAACCCCCUCUAUCCAAAUCUGGUCUUGGUGUCCCUCGAAUAUCAGCCAAGCUUCUCGAAUAUCUAUUUGAAGUACUGGCUCCUCCGCCGGACACGGUGGCGGCGCUGCCAAUCGACCUCAAAAUCACACUAGACAACCCCCAUACGUUCCUCGUCCCAAAUCCGUCGAUAUCUUACUUCGAAUUCAUCCAGAACUCUGUGAAUUUUGGAUCCGAAGUUCGAGCCUUAGAAGUCAAUUUGGACAUGUGCAUGCAGUGACUGUUCGACAUGGUUUUGGGUCGAAUCAGAGUAUUAAUGUAAAGUUCGGGCCUAGCCGGCGAGUCCGAACCCUGUUUCAUCCUCUUUAGCCUCUGUUGAUUAAUUUGUUUAAUUUUCCUUGUUUCCUUUGGUCACUUCAAAUGGCUCGCGCAUUCGAGUCUGGUCAAGCACUGUUUUCUUUAAGUCGUUAAUGGAGCUUCGUUUACCUCGCAUGUGGUCAAAUAAUUGAAACUAGGUUUAGCUGAAUUUGUUCAAUUACAUUGUUUAGUUGUUUCUCCCGUUUUAACUAUAUGAAGGACUCAGCUAUGGUGCUUUAAUUGCAUGAUAAGAACUUAGUGUUUAACAAUAAAUCUUGAAGUUUAUCAGAAAUAAAUUUCGGUUUAAUUGCAAGAACAUAGGAGUUUUAUGUUGUGAUUGUUAGUUACUAGCUUGUCGGGUUCUAAUAUUGGUAAAUAUUUCUAGGGUCGUAUUUGAAUAAACAAAACUUAAGGGGGGCCUAAGGGUCAGUCAUAGUUUUUUAAGUAAUAACAAAGGCAUAUGAGGGUAACCUAGGUAUUUUGGGUAGGGAAUCUUCUCUCUAACAGCUUUGGAAUCUUCUAACAGGAGGUUUGAUAGUAAAUUGUAGGUCUAAAUUGGUCCAUAAGUUAAAAAAAGAAGGGACCCAAAUGCAAACUCAAAAAUCUGAGAUGCCCUACUUUGUUGCAUAUAAAGAUAUCAUUCCUUGUCUUUGAAAGUAGAGGGCGAAGGGCUGAGAACCCAGGAAAAUACUAAAGUUGCAUAAAUUUCACUUUUUCAUAUAUAAAAGAGAGAUUGGACCUCCUAAAAAUCUGGACAAAAAAUCAAAAACAAACAUUGGAAAAGAUACUAAAAAUUCAGGAGACUAAUAUCUAGGAAGUUACUAUUCUAUUGAAUGUUUUAGGUUGAGGUUUCAGGGAUUAUUGAGGUUGUUUUCGAGUUGAAUUCAGUUCAUUCAAGCUGGUUUUAAGUUUUUGACUGGUGUUAUUUGAUUUAAAUCAUUCCUUUGUUAUUUAACACCACUGCAGGGGCCUUAAAUUGGUUUUGUUGCUGCUGUUUGUUAACUGACCUUCGAUUCUCCUCACUUUGCUUAAUUUCCAGAUACACCUUUUGACUUCCAACAUUUAAAGAGUGGCUUAUAAAGUACCUUUCCUAAAGAGAAAUGAAGAGAUGGUGUGAUUAUCUUGUUUGAUUUUGUUUCCAUUUCUAUGUUCUCAGCUUGUUAUUCAAUUUCAACUUACUUUAAAGUUAUGUGGCAAAACAAUAAUAGGACUGUGAUGUAUUAAUUGUUGAUUGCUGCUAAAAAUCUGUUGUUGUUAGAAGUGGCUAUCAGUGUUGAUUAUUGUUCCUUAUGGCUUGCUUGCUUUGUUUACUCUAAUGGAUUCCAUAUAUUGAGUGUUGAGUGUUGUAAUAGCUUAGUCUAAAGAUCAUUUCAAUAUAGUUAUUUGCACGAUCAGUAUUGUCAUUCAGUCAGUAAUUGGACUAGUUCAAGUGCAGUUGGUUUGUGCUUGCUUCUAGUGCUGUAUUUGUGUUUAAUAUCCUCACUAGGUUCAACUGUAAUUACUUCCAGGCAAAUUUCUGGAUUUUGAGUGUUCACUUGAAUAAAUAAGGCAUUUGAGGUUAUCUUCUGACUAGUUUACACAACUACUUAAUAUCAUUGUGUAGGUAGAAUAUCGCAGAUUCAUCAUUAUUCUGGUUUACAGGUUUUUAAAA
Molecule: long non-coding RNA, 2150 nt
Filed under: Nicotiana benthamiana
Lineage: Eukaryota; Viridiplantae; Streptophyta; Magnoliopsida; Solanales; Solanaceae
Description: long non-coding RNA (NBEN_LNC004575)
Source: RNAcentral